RNAcentral lists this ribosomal RNA (231 nucleotides) under Triticum aestivum (bread wheat). Its description in RNAcentral is "partial small subunit ribosomal RNA". The record is from RNAcentral. Lineage: Eukaryota; Viridiplantae; Streptophyta; Magnoliopsida; Poales; Poaceae.
CUGCUUCUACUUUCUGUAUGGAGCUGGGAGCAUCUGCCUGUUGGACGCCCGAAGAGCGUCAGGUUUGAUCCUUGGUAUGCAGAUGAACAUGACGAAUUACGGCGCCCCACGUGGGCUUACAAGUGGGAUAUCGUUUCCGAGAUGACGAACGAUGUCAAUCUCAUGUACCAAAAGUACAUUGCCGAGUUGGACACGAUUACGCGUGAGCAGGUAAGGAGGUCAUUACUUUAG